GAGUUUGAUCCUGGCUCAGAUUGAACGCUGGCGGCAGGCCUAACACAUGCAAGUCGAGCGGAUGACGGGAGCUUGCUCCUUGAUUCAGCGGCGGGCGGGUGAGUAAUGCCUGGGAAUCUGCCUGGUAGUGGGGGACAACGUUUCGAAAGGAACGCUAAUACCGCAUACGUCCUACGGGAGAAAGCAGGGGACCUUCGGGCCUUGCGCUAUCAGAUGAGCCUAGGUCGGAUUAGCUAGUUGGUGGGGUAAUGGCUCACCAAAGGCGACGAUCCGUAACUGGUCUGAGAGGAUGAUCAGUCACGCUGGAACUGAGACACGGUCCAGACUCCUACGGGAGGCAGCAGUGGGGAAUAUUGGACAAUGGGCGAAAGCCUGAUCCAGCCAUGCCGCGUGUGUGAAGAAGGUCUUCGGAUUGUAAAGCACUUUAAGUUGGGAGGAAGGGCAGUAAGUUAAUACCUUGCUGUUUUGACGUUUACCGACAGAAUAAGCACCGGCUAACUCUGUGCCAGCAGCCCG
RNAcentral lists this ribosomal RNA (516 nucleotides) under bacterium enrichment culture clone ALO1_GLFRUDD03GI2Z4. RNAcentral's name for it is "bacterial SSU rRNA". It matches the Rfam family "Bacterial small subunit ribosomal RNA", at positions 9 to 517 of the family's 1533-position model. The record is from RNAcentral.